UUUUUAUUUACUUUUGGAAUUUAUAUAAAAUAUUAUUUACUAUAAUAAUAAUAAACAGUGUACAAAAUAUUUAAAUUAAAAAAAAACGUUUAAUAAAAUAUUUAAUAAAAAUUACCCAUAUAAUUUAUUUUAUCCUCGAUUUUAAUAAAUAUAACAAUUAGUUUUGAAAAUUUGCGCCGUUUACUGCUUAUAACGGAUGAAACCGGAUAAAAAUACACCCUGUUUUUUUGAUUUAAUAUAAAUUUAAUUUCGUUUUUUUUACCCACCCUUUCCGGGGGUUUUCGGCCUUUAAAGCCAGCAAUUUAAAUAUAAAUAACCUUUUAAUUUGCAAUUAAAGCAAAUUAAAUUUUUAAGCGCCCCGUUAUAUUAUUUUUUAAUCGUAAUUUUUUUAAUUAUACAGUUUUUUUGGUUAGAUUUCAAAUUUUAUUAACCAAGUAGUUGAUAUUGUAACCGUUCGAAGUGUUAAAAAAGUAAUAACGUUGGUAAUAAUAUUAGUUUAAAUAGUAAAAGGGGUUUUUAAAAUUGUGAACUAUUUUAAAAUAAUAAGUUAAUAUAUUUUAGGUUUAAAAUUCGAUUGGCUAUUUUUCGACUGUUUUUGGUUAUUAAAUAAAUUAGUUCAAUAUAAGUUUAUAACGGUAUAACCUGGUUUAAAUAAUCGAAUAUAAAAUUUUUAAAAUAUUCUAAUUAACAUUAUAACAAUUAAAUUUAUAAUAUUA
RNAcentral lists this small RNA (716 nucleotides) under Pyricularia oryzae. RNAcentral's name for it is "Magnaporthe oryzae sRNA M_BR32_EuGene_00147361". Lineage: Eukaryota; Fungi; Ascomycota; Sordariomycetes; Magnaporthales; Pyriculariaceae. The record is from RNAcentral.